GUAGGGAAUAUUGGGCAAUGGAUGCAAGUCUGACCCAGCCAUCCCGCGUGCCGGAAGAAGGCCCUCAGGGUUGUAAACGGCUUUUGACGGUGAAGAAUCGACAGGAUGCGUCCUGUUUUGACGGUAGCCGUUGAAUAAGCACCGGCUAACUCCGUGCCAGCAGCCGCGGUAAUACGGAGGGUGCGAGCGUUGUCCGGAUUUAUUGGGUUUAAAGGGUGCGUAGGCUGGAAGGUCAGUCAGCGGUGAAAAGCUGUCGCUUAACGAUAGUCUUGCCGCAGAUACUUCCUUUCUUGGAUGAGGAGGAGGCCACUGGAACGGAUGGUGUAGCGGUGAAAUGCAUUGAUAUCAUCCAGAACACCGAUUGCGAAGGCAGGUGGCUGUACCUUAAUCGACGCUGAUGCACGAAAGCAUGGGGAGCAAACAGGAUUAGAUACCCUAGUAGUCC
RNAcentral lists this ribosomal RNA (445 nucleotides) under uncultured bacterium. Its description in RNAcentral is "partial 16S ribosomal RNA". It matches the Rfam family "Bacterial small subunit ribosomal RNA", at positions 354 to 796 of the family's 1533-position model. The record is from RNAcentral.